CAUAGCGACCAUACUAUCAUUAGCAUUGCCUUAUCUCAUCUGAUUUUGGAAACCAAGGAUGGUCUAUACUGGUUGCUACUUGAGAUGGGAGACCACCAGGGAAUACCAAGGGCUGCUUGGA
RNAcentral lists this ribosomal RNA (121 nucleotides) under Pogona vitticeps (central bearded dragon). The record is from RNAcentral. Lineage: Eukaryota; Metazoa; Chordata; Lepidosauria; Squamata; Agamidae.